UGGUACAAUGCUCUUAUACA
RNAcentral lists this small nuclear RNA (20 nucleotides) under Arabidopsis thaliana (thale cress). Its description in RNAcentral is "snRNA_03979". The record is from RNAcentral. Lineage: Eukaryota; Viridiplantae; Streptophyta; Magnoliopsida; Brassicales; Brassicaceae.